Molecule: non-coding RNA, 114 nt
Organism: Acanthosepion pharaonis
Lineage: Eukaryota; Metazoa; Mollusca; Cephalopoda; Sepiida; Sepiidae
Source: the annotation of a GenBank genome assembly
AUGCGGCUAUUUCAUGUUGGAACACUCGUUCUCAUCCGAUCCCCGAAGUUAAGCAACGUUCACCCUGGUCAGUACUUAGACAGGUGUUCGCUCGGGAAUACCGGAUGUUGUAAG